CCAGCAGCUGCGGUAAUUCCAGCUCCAAUAGCGUAUAUUAAAGUUGUUGCAGUUAAAACGCUCGUAGUCUGAUGUAAUGGGGACUGGAGUGGGGAGCAGCGAUGCUCUUUGCUUUGGUCCUCAUCAGGGGGACAGCAAUGUCCCAGUUUACUUUGAGGAAAUUAGAGUGUUCAAAGCAGGCGAUUGCUUGAAUACUGCAGCAUGGAAUAAUGGAAUAGGACUCGCGUCUUAUUUUGUUGGUUUGGAGAUGUGAGUAAUGAUGAAUAGGGAUAGUUGGGGGCAUUAAUAUUUAAUUGUCAGAGGUGAAAUUCUUGGAUUUAUGAAAGAUUAACUUCUGCGAAAGCAUCUGC
This 350-nucleotide ribosomal RNA is filed under the name uncultured eukaryote. RNAcentral describes it as "SSU rRNA". It matches the Rfam family "Eukaryotic small subunit ribosomal RNA", at positions 567 to 958 of the family's 1831-position model. The record is from RNAcentral.